UAAGUGUGUAGUGAUCUGAUAGGAUGCCU
This 29-nucleotide non-coding RNA is filed under the name Rattus norvegicus (Norway rat). The record is from RNAcentral. Lineage: Eukaryota; Metazoa; Chordata; Mammalia; Rodentia; Muridae.